RNAcentral lists this ribosomal RNA (420 nucleotides) under uncultured bacterium. RNAcentral's name for it is "partial 16S ribosomal RNA". It matches the Rfam family "Bacterial small subunit ribosomal RNA", at positions 361 to 773 of the family's 1533-position model. The record is from RNAcentral.
AUUUUGGAACAUUGGGGCAACCCUGAUCCAGCCAUGCCGCGUGUGUGAAGAAGGUUUUCGGAUUGUAAAGCCAUUUUAGUUGGGGGGAAGGGCUUUAGGUUAAGUCCCUUAAGUUUUGACGUUAACAACAGAAAAAGCACCUGCUAACUCUGUGCCAGCAGCCGCGGUAAUACAGAGGGUGCCAGAUUUAAUCGGAACUACUGGGCGUAAAGCGCGCGUAGUUGGUUCAGUAAGAUGGUUGUGAAAUCCCCGGGCUUAACCUGGGAACUGCUUUCAUAACUGCUGCGCUAAAGUACGGUGGAGGGUAGUGAAAUUUCCUGUUUGACGGUGAAAUGCGUAAAUAAAGGAAGGAACACCAGUGGCGAAGGCGACUACCUGGACUAAUACUGACACUGAGGUGCGAAAGCGUGGGGAGCAAAC